This 2931-nucleotide ribosomal RNA is filed under the name Escherichia coli. Its description in RNAcentral is "23S ribosomal RNA". It matches the Rfam family "Bacterial large subunit ribosomal RNA". The record is from RNAcentral. Lineage: Bacteria; Pseudomonadati; Pseudomonadota; Gammaproteobacteria; Enterobacterales; Enterobacteriaceae.
GGGUUGUGAGGUUAAGCGACUAAGCGUACACGGUGGAUGCCCUGGCAGUCAGAGGCGAUGAAGGACGUGCUAAUCUGCGAUAAGCGUCGGUAAGGUGAUAUGAACCGUUAUAACCGGCGAUUUCCGAAUGGGGAAACCCAGUGUGUUUCGACACACUAUCAUUAACUGAAUCCAUAGGUUAAUGAGGCGAACCGGGGGAACUGAAACAUCUAAGUACCCCGAGGAAAAGAAAUCAACCGAGAUUCCCCCAGUAGCGGCGAGCGAACGGGGAGCAGCCCAGAGCCUGAAUCAGUGUGUGUGUUAGUGGAAGCGUCUGGAAAGGCGCGCGAUACAGGGUGACAGCCCCGUACACAAAAAUGCACAUGCUGUGAGCUCGAUGAGUAGGGCGGGACACGUGGUAUCCUGUCUGAAUAUGGGGGGACCAUCCUCCAAGGCUAAAUACUCCUGACUGACCGAUAGUGAACCAGUACCGUGAGGGAAAGGCGAAAAGAACCCCGGCGAGGGGAGUGAAAAAGAACCUGAAACCGUGUACGUACAAGCAGUGGGAGCACGCUUAGGCGUGUGACUGCGUACCUUUUGUAUAAUGGGUCAGCGACUUAUAUUCUGUAGCAAGGUUAACCGAAUAGGGGAGCCGAAGGGAAACCGAGUCUUAACUGGGCGUUAAGUUGCAGGGUAUAGACCCGAAACCCGGUGAUCUAGCCAUGGGCAGGUUGAAGGUUGGGUAACACUAACUGGAGGACCGAACCGACUAAUGUUGAAAAAUUAGCGGAUGACUUGUGGCUGGGGGUGAAAGGCCAAUCAAACCGGGAGAUAGCUGGUUCUCCCCGAAAGCUAUUUAGGUAGCGCCUCGUGAAUUCAUCUCCGGGGGUAGAGCACUGUUUCGGCAAGGGGGUCAUCCCGACUUACCAACCCGAUGCAAACUGCGAAUACCGGAGAAUGUUAUCACGGGAGACACACGGCGGGUGCUAACGUCCGUCGUGAAGAGGGAAACAACCCAGACCGCCAGCUAAGGUCCCAAAGUCAUGGUUAAGUGGGAAACGAUGUGGGAAGGCCCAGACAGCCAGGAUGUUGGCUUAGAAGCAGCCAUCAUUUAAAGAAAGCGUAAUAGCUCACUGGUCGAGUCGGCCUGCGCGGAAGAUGUAACGGGGCUAAACCAUGCACCGAAGCUGCGGCAGCGACGCUGAUGCGUUGUUGGGUAGGGGAGCGUUCUGUAAGCCUGCGAAGGUGUGCUGUGAGGCAUGCUGGAGGUAUCAGAAGUGCGAAUGCUGACAUAAGUAACGAUAAAGCGGGUGAAAAGCCCGCUCGCCGGAAGACCAAGGGUUCCUGUCCAACGUUAAUCGGGGCAGGGUGAGUCGACCCCUAAGGCGAGGCCGAAAGGCGUAGUCGAUGGGAAACAGGUUAAUAUUCCUGUACUUGGUGUUACUGCGAAGGGGGGACGGAGAAGGCUAUGUUGGCCGGGCGACGGUUGUCCCGGUUUAAGCGUGUAGGCUGGUUUUCCAGGCAAAUCCGGAAAAUCAAGGCUGAGGCGUGAUGACGAGGCACUACGGUGCUGAAGCAACAAAUGCCCUGCUUCCAGGAAAAGCCUCUAAGCAUCAGGUAACAUCAAAUCGUACCCCAAACCGACACAGGUGGUCAGGUAGAGAAUACCAAGGCGCUUGAGAGAACUCGGGUGAAGGAACUAGGCAAAAUGGUGCCGUAACUUCGGGAGAAGGCACGCUGAUAUGUAGGUGAGGUCCCUCGCGGAUGGAGCUGAAAUCAGUCGAAGAUACCAGCUGGCUGCAACUGUUUAUUAAAAACACAGCACUGUGCAAACACGAAAGUGGACGUAUACGGUGUGACGCCUGCCCGGUGCCGGAAGGUUAAUUGAUGGGGUUAGCGCAAGCGAAGCUCUUGAUCGAAGCCCCGGUAAACGGCGGCCGUAACUAUAACGGUCCUAAGGUAGCGAAAUUCCUUGUCGGGUAAGUUCCGACCUGCACGAAUGGCGUAAUGAUGGCCAGGCUGUCUCCACCCGAGACUCAGUGAAAUUGAACUCGCUGUGAAGAUGCAGUGUACCCGCGGCAAGACGGAAAGACCCCGUGAACCUUUACUAUAGCUUGACACUGAACAUUGAGCCUUGAUGUGUAGGAUAGGUGGGAGGCUUAGAAGUGUGGACGCCAGUCUGCAUGGAGCCGACCUUGAAAUACCACCCUUUAAUGUUUGAUGUUCUAACGUUGACCCGUAAUCCGGGUUGCGGACAGUGUCUGGUGGGUAGUUUGACUGGGGCGGUCUCCUCCUAAAGAGUAACGGAGGAGCACGAAGGUUGGCUAAUCCUGGUCGGACAUCAGGAGGUUAGUGCAAUGGCAUAAGCCAGCUUGACUGCGAGCGUGACGGCGCGAGCAGGUGCGAAAGCAGGUCAUAGUGAUCCGGUGGUUCUGAAUGGAAGGGCCAUCGCUCAACGGAUAAAAGGUACUCCGGGGAUAACAGGCUGAUACCGCCCAAGAGUUCAUAUCGACGGCGGUGUUUGGCACCUCGAUGUCGGCUCAUCACAUCCUGGGGCUGAAGUAGGUCCCAAGGGUAUGGCUGUUCGCCAUUUAAAGUGGUACGCGAGCUGGGUUUAGAACGUCGUGAGACAGUUCGGUCCCUAUCUGCCGUGGGCGCUGGAGAACUGAGGGGGGCUGCUCCUAGUACGAGAGGACCGGAGUGGACGCAUCACUGGUGUUCGGGUUGUCAUGCCAAUGGCACUGCCCGGUAGCUAAAUGCGGAAGAGAUAAGUGCUGAAAGCAUCUAAGCACGAAACUUGCCCCGAGAUGAGUUCUCCCUGACUCCUUGAGAGUCCUGAAGGAACGUUGAAGACGACGACGUUGAUAGGCCGGGUGUGUAAGCGCAGCGAUGCAUUGAGCUAACCGGUACUAAUGAACCGUGAGGCUUAACCUUACAACGCCGAAGGUGUUU